RNAcentral lists this ribosomal RNA (499 nucleotides) under uncultured Paraglomus. Its description in RNAcentral is "SSU rRNA". It matches the Rfam family "Eukaryotic small subunit ribosomal RNA", at positions 569 to 1075 of the family's 1831-position model. The record is from RNAcentral. Lineage: Eukaryota; Fungi; Glomeromycota; Glomeromycetes; Paraglomerales; Paraglomeraceae.
AGCAGCCGCGGUAAUUCCAGCUCCAAUAGCGUAUAUUAAAGUUGUUGUGGUUAAAAAGCUCGUAGUUGAACCUUGGGCCUGGCUGGCCGGUCCGCCUCACCGCGUGUACUGGUCCGGCCGGGCCUUUCCCUCUGUGGAACCCCAUGCCCUUCACUGGGUGUGGCGGGGAAACAGGACUUUUACUGUGAAAAAAUUAGAGUGCCCCAGGCAGGCCUAUGCUCGAAUGCAUUAGCAUGGAAUAAUAGAAUAGGACGUGUGGUUCUAUUUUGUUGGUUUCUAGGACCGCCGUAAUGAUUAAUAGGGACAGUCGGGGGCAUCAGUAUUCAAUUGUCAGAGGUGAAAUUCUUGGAUUUAUUGAAGACUAACUACUGCGAAAGCAUUUGCCAAGGAUGUUUUCAUUAAUCAGGAACGAAAAUUAGGGGAUCGAAGACGAUCAGAUACCGUCGUAGUCUUAACCAUAAACUAUGCCGACUAGGGAUCGGACGGUGUUAUUUUUGAC